RNAcentral lists this ribosomal RNA (837 nucleotides) under uncultured bacterium. RNAcentral's name for it is "bacterial SSU rRNA". It matches the Rfam family "Bacterial small subunit ribosomal RNA", at positions 671 to 1504 of the family's 1533-position model. The record is from RNAcentral.
GAGUGUAGCGGUGAAAUGCGUAGAUAUUCGGAGGAACACCAAUUGCGAAGGCAGCUCACUGGGCCGCUAUCGACGCUGAGGAGCGAAAGCUAGGGGAGCAAACAGGAUUAGAUACCCUGGUAGUCCUAGCUGUAAACGAUGGAUACUAGACGUAGGAAUUGGAUUAACGAUUUCUGUGUCGUAGCUAACGCGUUAAGUAUCCCGCCUGGGGAGUACGGUCGCAAGACUAAAACUCAAAGGAAUUGACGGGACCCCGCACAAGCGGCGGAGCAUGCGGCUUAAUUCGAUGAUACCCGUAGAACCUUACCUGGACUUGACAUAUAGGGAAAAGUUAUAGAAAUAUAAUGUGCAUUAGCGCCCUAUACAGGUGGUGCAUGGCUGUCGUCAGCUCGUGUCGUGAGAUGUUGGGUUAAGUCCCGCAACGAGCGCAAAACCUGUCCUAUGUUGCCAGCAAGUAAUGUUGGGGACUCAUAGGAGACUGCCGGUGAUAAACCGGAGGAAGGUGGGGACGACGUCAAGUCAUCAUGCCCCUUAUGUCCAGGGCUGCACGCAUGCUACAAUGGCAAGUACAACGAGUCGCAAUACCGCGAGGUGGAGCAAAUCUCUUAAAGCUUGUCUCAGUUCGGAUAGGAGUCUGCAACUCGACUCCUUGAAGUUGGAGUCGCUAGUAAUCGCAAAUCAGCAAAGUUGCGGUGAAUACGUUCUCGGGGUUUGUACACACCGCCCGUCAAGUCACGGAAGUCGGCAAUACCCGAAGCCAGUGGUCCAACCCUUUUGGGAGGAAGCUGUCGAAGGUAGGGUCGGUAACUGGGACUAAGUCGUAACAAGGUAACCGUA